This 88-nucleotide signal recognition particle RNA is filed under the name Gemmatimonadota bacterium. RNAcentral describes it as "Gemmatimonadetes bacterium partial signal recognition particle sRNA small type". It matches the Rfam family "Bacterial small signal recognition particle RNA", at positions 13 to 97 of the family's 97-position model. From Rfam's summary of the family: The signal recognition particle (SRP) is a universally conserved ribonucleoprotein involved in the co-translational targeting of proteins to membranes. Archaeal SRP consists of a 7S RNA and homologues of the eukaryotic SRP19 and SRP54 proteins. Lineage: Bacteria; Pseudomonadati; Gemmatimonadota. The record is from RNAcentral.
CGCAACGUGACAACGCCCAAUCCCGUCAGGACCGGAAGGUAGCAGCGGUAAGCGCCUGAAGCGUGUGCCGUGGGAGCGCCUGGCCGGA